GAGUUUGAUCGUGGCUCAGAUUGAACGCUGGCGGCAUGCUUUACACAUGCAAGUCGAACGGUAACGCGGGGGCAACCCUGGCGACGAGUGGCGAACGGGUGAGUAAUACAUCGGAACGUGUCCUGGAGUGGGGGAUAGCUCGGCGAAAGCCGGAUUAAUACCGCAUACGCUCUGAGGAGGAAAGCGGGGGACCUUCGGGCCUCGCGCUGCGGGAGCGGCCGAUGUCGGAUUAGCUAGUUGGUGGGGUAAAGGCCUACCAAGGCGACGAUCCGUAGCUGGUCUGAGAGGAUGAUCAGCCACACUGGGACUGAGACACGGCCCAGACUCCUACGGGAGGCAGCAGUGGGGAAUUUUGGACAAUGGGGGCAACCCUGAUCCAGCCAUGCCGCGUGAGUGAAGAAGGCCUU
This 407-nucleotide ribosomal RNA is filed under the name uncultured beta proteobacterium. RNAcentral describes it as "bacterial SSU rRNA". It matches the Rfam family "Bacterial small subunit ribosomal RNA", at positions 9 to 418 of the family's 1533-position model. Lineage: Bacteria; Pseudomonadati; Pseudomonadota; Betaproteobacteria. The record is from RNAcentral.